CCUACGGGGGGCUGCAGUGGGGAAUAUUGGACAAUGGGGGGAACCCUGAUCCAGCCAUGCCGCGUGUGUGAAGAAGGCCCUCGGGUUGUAAAGCACUUUCAGUGAGGAAGAACGCCUGGUGGUUAAUACCCAUCAGGAAAGACAUCACUCACAGAAGAAGCACCGGCUAACUCCGUGCCAGCAGCCGCGGUAAUACGGAGGGUGCGAGCGUUAAUCGGAAUUACUGGGCGUAAAGCGCGCGUAGGUGGCUUGAUAAGCCGGUUGUGAAAGCCCCGGGCUCAACCUGGGAACGGCAUCCGGAACUGUCAAGCUAGAGUGCAGGAGAGGAAGGUAGAAUUCCCGGUGUAGCGGUGAAAUGCGUAGAGAUCGGGAGGAAUACCAGUGGCGAAGGCGGCCUUCUGGACUGACACUGACACUGAGGUGCGAAAGCGUGGGUAGCAAGCAGGAUUAGAUACCCCUGUAGUC
This 465-nucleotide ribosomal RNA is filed under the name Vreelandella stevensii. RNAcentral's name for it is "partial 16S ribosomal RNA". It matches the Rfam family "Bacterial small subunit ribosomal RNA", at positions 338 to 795 of the family's 1533-position model. Lineage: Bacteria; Pseudomonadati; Pseudomonadota; Gammaproteobacteria; Oceanospirillales; Halomonadaceae. The record is from RNAcentral.